GCCUUGUUAGUGAAGUGGUAUCACGCCAAACUUCUACUUUGGUAUCGUGAGUUCGAUUCUCACACAAGGCA
This 71-nucleotide transfer RNA is filed under the name Exutisphaerella laricina CBS 326.52. RNAcentral describes it as "tRNA-Arg (TCT) (tRNA-Arg-TCT-1-1)". It matches the Rfam family "tRNA". From Rfam's summary of the family: Transfer RNA (tRNA) molecules are approximately 80 nucleotides in length. Their secondary structure includes four short double-helical elements and three loops (D, anti-codon, and T loops). Lineage: Eukaryota; Fungi; Ascomycota; Dothideomycetes; Mycosphaerellales; Mycosphaerellaceae. The record is from RNAcentral.